AGUCAACCUAACCUAUGGACGGGAAUAACCUCGGGAAACUGAGAAUAAUGCCCGAUAGAACAUUAUGCCUGGAAUGGUUUAUGUUCCAAAUGAUUUAUCGCCGUAGGAUGGGACUGCGGCCUAUCAGUUUGUUGGUGAGGUAAUGGCCCACCAAGACUAUUACAGGUACGGGCUCUGAGAGGAGCAGCCCGGAGAUGGGUACUGAGACACGGACCCAGGCCCUAUGGGGCGCAGCAGGCGAGAAAACUUUGCAAUGUGCGAAAGCACGACAAGGUUAAUCCGAGUGGUUUCUGCUAAAGAAACCUUUUGUCAGUCCUAGAAACACUGAUGAAUAAGGGGUGGGCAAGUUCUGGUGUCAGCCGCCGCGGUAAAACCAGCACCUCAAGUGGUCAGGAUGAUUAUUGGGCCUAAAGCAUCCGUAGCCGGCUCUGUAAGUUUUCGGUUAAAUCUGUACGCUCAACGUACAGGCUGCCGGGAAUACUGCACAGCUAGGGAGUGGGAGAGGUAGACGGUACUCGGUAGGAAGGGGUAAAAUCCUUUGAUCUAUUGAUGACCACCUGUGGCGAAGGCGGUCUACCAGAACACGUCCGACAGUGAGGGAUGAAAGCUGGGGGAGCAAACCGGAUUAGAUACCCGGGUAGUCCCAGCUGUAAACUAUGCAAACUCAGUGAUGCAUUGGCUUGUGGCCAAUGCAGUGCUGCAGGGAAGCCGUUAAGUUUGCCGCCUGGGAAGUACGUACGCAAGUAUGAAACUUA
RNAcentral lists this ribosomal RNA (755 nucleotides) under uncultured marine group I thaumarchaeote. RNAcentral's name for it is "bacterial SSU rRNA". It matches the Rfam family "Archaeal small subunit ribosomal RNA", at positions 102 to 858 of the family's 1478-position model. Lineage: Archaea; Thermoproteati; Nitrososphaerota. The record is from RNAcentral.